GACGAACGCUGGCGGCGUGCCUAACACAUGCAAGUCGUACGGAGUUCACUUGGAAGCUUGCUUCCGAGUGAACUUAGUGGCGGACGGGUGAGUAACGCGUGAGCAACCUGCCUCACAGAGGGGGAUAACACACGGAAACGUGUGCUAAUACCGCAUAAUCCGAUGAAGCGGCAUCGCUUUAUCGGCAAAGGAGCAAUCCGCUGUGAGAUGGGCUCGCGUCCGAUUAGAUAGUUGGUGAGGUAACGGCUCACCAAGUCUACGAUCGGUAGCCGGACUGAGAGGUUGGACGGCCACAUUGGGACUGAGACACGGCCCAAACUCCUACGGGAGGCAGCAGUGAGGGAUAUUGCACAAUGGGCGAAAGCCUGAUGCAGCGACGCCGCGUGAGGGAUGACGGUCUUCGGAUUGUAAACCUCUGUCCUUGGUGAAGAAGAAAGUGACGGUAGCCAAGGAGGAAGCCACGGCUAACUACGUGCCAGCAGCCCG
Molecule: ribosomal RNA, 486 nt
Filed under: uncultured bacterium
Lineage: Bacteria
Description: bacterial SSU rRNA
Rfam family: Bacterial small subunit ribosomal RNA
Source: RNAcentral